GACGAACGCUGGCGGCGUGCUUAACACAUGCAAGUCGAACGGAAAGGCCCUGCUUUUGUGGGGUGCUCGAGUUGCGAACGGGUGAGUAACACGUGAGUAACCUGCCCUUGACUUUGGGAUAACUUCAGGAAACUGGGGCUAAUCCCGGAUAGGAGCUCCUGCUGCAUGGUGGGGGUUGGAUAGUUUCGGCGGUUGGGGAUGGACUCGCGGCUUAUCAGCUUGUUGGUGGGGUAGUGGCUUACCAAGGCUUUGACGGGUAGCCGGCCUGAGAGGGUGACCGGCCACAUUGGGCCGGAGAUACGGCACAGACUCGUACGGGAGGCAGCGGUGGGGAAUAUUGCACAAUGGGCGGAAGCCUGAUGCAGCAACGCCGCGUGCGGGAUGACGGCCUUCGGGUUGUAAACCGCUUUCGCCUGUGACGAAGCGUGAGUGACGGUAAUGGGUAAAGAAGCUCCGGCUAACUACGUG
Molecule: ribosomal RNA, 468 nt
Filed under: uncultured bacterium
Lineage: Bacteria
Description: partial 16S ribosomal RNA
Rfam family: Bacterial small subunit ribosomal RNA
Source: RNAcentral